Molecule: non-coding RNA, 681 nt
Organism: Pelobates cultripes (western spadefoot toad)
Lineage: Eukaryota; Metazoa; Chordata; Amphibia; Anura; Pelobatidae
Source: the annotation of a GenBank genome assembly
AAAAAAUCGUUAUACUGUGGUCCUUGCUGUCACUGCAGACGGAAACAAGCUGCCACCAUUGGUCAUUUUUAAAAGGAAAACUUUUCCUAAGGAGAAGAUUCCAAGUGGCAUACAGGUGCAUGUUCAUCCCAAAGGUUGGAUGGACGAAGAAGGCAUGAGGCUUUGGAUCAGAAAUGUGUGGGAGAAGCGCCCAGGUGCUUUGUUAAAGAAGCCAUCCUUGUUAGUACUGGACUCAUUCAGAUCUCAUCUUACAGAACCAUCAAAGAAAGAAUUUCAAAUGUGCAAAACAGAAGUAGCAGUCAUUCCAGGAGGACUUACAUCACAAUUGCAGCCAUUGGAUGUUUCCAUUAACAAGCCCUUCAAAGCCUUCAUGAGUGAAGAAUGGAAUAAAUACAUGUGUGAUGAAAGCCAACAUGAAAGUACAAGUUCUGGGAGAAUGAAAAGACCUGGCAUUUCAAAAGUGUGUCAGUGGAUAAAGACUUCGUGGGACGCAGUUAAAGAAGAUAUUAUCAAAUCUUUUAAGAAAUGUGGCAUAAGCAAUGCUUUGGAUGGUGAAGAAGACAAGCUGAUUUAUGAAGACAGUAGCAGUGAAAGCAGCAGUGUUCAGUUCAAAGAUAUUGAAGAUAGCAGUGAAGAUGAAGAGUUUCUUGGUUUCCCAGACAGCAGCGAUUUCUGAGUAAA